Molecule: long non-coding RNA, 521 nt
Organism: Papaver somniferum (opium poppy)
Lineage: Eukaryota; Viridiplantae; Streptophyta; Magnoliopsida; Ranunculales; Papaveraceae
Exons: 3
Source: RefSeq, a predicted model, not a curated record
GAAAGAAUGACAAAGAGUUCAAUCAGCUCAUGAUUUCAAUCUCCAACGAGUUCAUCACUCUUGAUCCAAUGAAUGUCUUUUAGACUCUGGGGCUGAAAUAUUUUAUUGUAAAAUGUUGGAGGGUUAGCUGAUAGAGAAGAUAAAGAGCUUAACAUUGCUGUUAGUCUCGUAUGUGUUGUGUGUUUUGGGAUUCCGAACCAGUUUACAGUUUCUCUCAAUGGUUGGAUUCUGCUCGGGAAAAGGAGUCUCCCUAACUCUAAUAGUCAAUCAAGAGAGUUUGAUUAUAAGGCCUUUAUCCUCCUAUCAAACAGGUAAGCGGGAUAGGUGGUGUAAAAUAUAAAUUUCAGUUGCUGGACAUGGUAUUGAACAAACUGCUUGCACAGGAUUGUUUUACAACCUUACAACUGAGUCUUUCCUUGUUAAAUUUUUUGUCUGCCACUUAACCAAUUUAGUAUUGUAAUUUUGUUUCCGGUUCUAAUAUUUUUCCAGUGGAAUAAGACUAUUUCAGCAAAAAAAAAGGU